UCCCUGGUGGUCCAGUGGGUAAGACUCUGUAUUCCUAAUGCAGGAGACCCAGGUUCAGUCCCUGGUCAGGGAA
Non-coding RNA from Cervus elaphus (red deer), 73 nucleotides. Lineage: Eukaryota; Metazoa; Chordata; Mammalia; Artiodactyla; Cervidae. The record is from the annotation of a RefSeq genome assembly.